GGAAUAUUGGUCAAUGGCCGCGAGGCUGAACCAGCCAAGUAGCGUGCAGGAAGACGGCCCUCUGGGUUGUAAACUGCUUUUAUACGGGAACAAAGUGCCCUACGUGUAGGGUUUUGCGUGUACCGUAAGAAAAAGGACCGGCUAAUUCCGUGCCAGCAGCCGCGGUAAUACGGAAGGUCCGGGCGUUAUCCGGAAUUAUUGGGUUUAAAGGGAGCGUAGGCGGGCCGGCAAGUCGGUUGUGAAAGUGCGGGGCUCAACCCCGUAUUGCGGUCGAAACUGUUGGUCUUGAGUGCGCGCAGGGACGCUGGAAUUCACGGUGUAGCGGUGAAAUGCUUAGAUAUUGUGAAGAACUCCGACGGCGAAGGCAGGUGUCCGGAGCGCUACUGACGCUGAGGCUCGAAAGUGCGGGUAUCGAACA
This 418-nucleotide ribosomal RNA is filed under the name uncultured bacterium. Its description in RNAcentral is "bacterial SSU rRNA". It matches the Rfam family "Bacterial small subunit ribosomal RNA", at positions 358 to 774 of the family's 1533-position model. The record is from RNAcentral.